AGGCGAUCCUUAGAUUUUGGGAGUAUGAAGAAGAAGGCAGCGUCAAUUGCUUAUAAUGGUGAUGAUAAGCCAGGCUUCCUUAAGAAGACAGACAAAAUCUAAGGUUAGAUCAUCCCAAUUUUGCAAUUAAUGGUGCGGGAACUAAAUUCCUACCACCAUUCAAAGGUUGUUGUGUUAUUUUACCAAGAAUAUCUGUUUUUUCCUAUUGCACUUUUUAAGAAAGUUUCUUGAAGCUAAUUGAGUAAACUUGUGGUGGAAGCCAGAUUUGACGGGAACUCUAAAUUGAUUGCGUUACCGUUAAUGGAUUUAAAGUUACUUAUGCAAUUAAGGAUGGUUCGAAAGGACCGAGAGGAUGGAAGAGUAAUGGUCUUCCUUGGUUAACACCAAAGAAGACAUUGAGUUUGGAUAAUCUAACGCAUGCUAUAUCUGAAGUAAUUAGAGAGACUGGCUCUGCACUGGUUAUUCUUGUUGUUGUUAUGCUCUUUCUUGCAAUUGUUGGAUUCUGUACGUUUCUUUUAUCCUGUUUUAAUACUUGUUUCUUCUGUCUCUAAGAUAAGGAUUUUUGUCGUCUCAUGUGAUUGUUUUUGUAGUCACAACUUUCUGAGUAUUAUCAAUAUUUGGUUUGGAAGUUCUUGUAUACUUGUAAGUUAAACUAGCUGAGCAUUUUUCUAAUCUUUUUUUAUUUUUUGACUUUGUAAUUCUCAAUCGUUACUUUUGGAAUAAGUAUUUAAUUAUAGUAAUUAAA
Long non-coding RNA from Vigna radiata var. radiata (mung bean), 745 nucleotides. RefSeq lists it as uncharacterized. The record is from RefSeq and is a predicted model, not a curated record. NCBI's taxonomy places the organism in Eukaryota, Viridiplantae, Streptophyta, Magnoliopsida, Fabales, Fabaceae. The transcript has 3 exons.